CCUACGGGUGGCAGCAGUGGGGAAUAUUGCACAAUGGGGGAAACCCUGAUGCAGCGACGCCGCGUGGGUGAAGAAGGAUUUCGGUAUGUAAAGCUCUAUCGGCAGGGAAGAAAAUGACGGUACCUGACUAAGAAGCCCCGGCUAACUACGUGCCAGCAGCCGCGGUAAUACGUAGGGGGCAAGCGUUAUCCGGAUUUACUGGGUGUAAAGGGAGCGUAGGCGGGUUUGCAAGUCAGAAGGGAAAUCCUAGGGCUAAACCAUGGAACUGCUUUUGAAACUGUAAAUCUGGAGUGCGGGAGAGGUAAGUGGAAUGCCUGGUGUAGCGGUGAAAUGCGUAGAGAUUAAGAGGAAUA
Molecule: ribosomal RNA, 353 nt
Filed under: uncultured bacterium
Lineage: Bacteria
Description: partial 16S ribosomal RNA
Rfam family: Bacterial small subunit ribosomal RNA
Source: RNAcentral